AUGAAGCAGCCGGCCGCACAGAACAAGCUUGAGGUCGUUACCUCAAAUGGCGGUGAGCGCGGUGGCAAGAGAAUGGAGAGAGGAUCCUCCUUGCAGGGUGGCCGGGGUGGCGGCGCCCUACUGACUCCCCAGCCAGGGGGGAUAGCAGUUCCUGUGGAGCGGUGUGGCGCUGCGACAAUCGAGCUCGACCUGACAAGGGCAAGGGCUGCCAUGAGUACCCGCUGGCUCGCGGUGGGGUACUUCUUCUCUGUGCUCCCUUUUAGCACGGCGGGGUUGUUUGGUGAACUGAAGAGCAAGUGGGGGCUGCGUGGACGACUCGACUACACACCCCUCAGCAACAAUUGCUUCAUGCUCGAAUUCGAGCGUGAGGGCAAUCGUCGGCACGUCCUGUAG
Molecule: ribosomal RNA, 393 nt
Filed under: Triticum aestivum (bread wheat)
Lineage: Eukaryota; Viridiplantae; Streptophyta; Magnoliopsida; Poales; Poaceae
Description: partial small subunit ribosomal RNA
Source: RNAcentral